This 1871-nucleotide long non-coding RNA is filed under the name Salmo salar (Atlantic salmon). Its description in RNAcentral is "lncRNA (ENSSSAG00000101222.1)". Lineage: Eukaryota; Metazoa; Chordata; Actinopteri; Salmoniformes; Salmonidae. The record is from RNAcentral.
GGAGAGAGAAGCAGCCGUAUCCUGAUCACCCAGAGAGAUUUGAGGACUGGAGACAGGUGCUGUGUGGAGAGGGUUUGACUGGGCGCUGUUACUGGGAGGUUGAGUGGAGUGGGGGGGCUGUUAUAGGAGUGACAUAUAAAGGAAUCAACAGGAGAGGAGUGGUUAAGUACUGUUGUCUUGGAUCCAAUGACAAGUCCUGGAGUCUGUUCUGCUAUGACAACAGUUACUCUGCCUGUCACAAUAAUAACUCCACUACCAUAGACGUCCCCUCCUCCAGCUCCCACAGAGUAGGAGUGUAUCUGGACUGGUCAGCCGGCACUCUGUCCUUCUAUAGAGCCUCCUCUGACACACUGACCCACCUGAUCACAUUCACCUCCACAUUCACUGAGCCCCUCUAUCCAGGGUUUUGGGUUUAUUCUGUUGGCUCUUCAGUGUCCCUGAAAUAAUAACUGGACACACACACACACACACACACACACACACACACACACACACACACACACACACACACACACACACACACACACACACACACACACACACACACACACACACACACUGGACAAACACACACACACACACACUGGACAAACACACACACACUGGACACACACACAAACACACACACACAAACACACACAAACACACACACACACACUGGACACACAAACUGGGCACACACACACUGGACACACACACACACUGGAACACACACACACACACACACACACACACACUGAACACACACUGAACACACACUGAACACACACAAACUGGACACAAAAUGGACACACACACUCAACACACACACUGAACAAACACACACAAACACAUUCUGGACACACGCACACUGGACAAACGAAAACACACACACACUCACACACAUACACACACACACACUGGACACACACACACACACACACACACACACACACACUGGACACACACACACACACACACACACACACACACACACACACACUGGUCAAACAAAAAUACACACACACACACACACACACACACUGGACACACACACACACACACACUGGACAAACAAAGUGGACAAACACACACACUGGACACACACUCACACAAACACUGGAUACACACAGACACACACACACUGGACACACACACUAGACAAACACACACACACACUGGACACACACACACACACACUGGACACACACACACACACACUGGACACACACACACACACUGGACACACACACACACACUGGACACACACACACACACUGGACACACACACACACACACACACACUGGACACACACACACACACACACACACUGGACACACACACACACACACUGGACAAAACACACACACACACACACACACACUGGACAAACACACACACACACACACUGGACAAACACACACACAAACACACUGGACAAACACACACACACACACACACACACACACUGGACAAACACACACACACACUGGACAAACACACACACACUGGACUCACACACACACACACACUGGACUCACACACACUGGACUCACACACACUGGACACACACACACACUGGACACACACACACACACACACUGGACACACACACACACACACUGGACACACACACACACACACUGGACACACACACGCAAACACUGGACAAACACACACACACACACACACACACUGGACAAACACACACACACACACACUGGACAAACACACACACACACUGGACAAACACACACACACACUGGACAAACACACACACACACACACUGGACAAACACACACACACACACACACACUGGACAAACACACACACACUGGACAAAAACAAACACACACACACACACACACACACACACACACACUGGACAAA